This 779-nucleotide ribosomal RNA is filed under the name uncultured bacterium. RNAcentral's name for it is "bacterial SSU rRNA". It matches the Rfam family "Bacterial small subunit ribosomal RNA", at positions 56 to 827 of the family's 1533-position model. The record is from RNAcentral.
UGCAGUCGGACGACAGGCGAGGAAUUCGCAAGGAGGAAUCGUGCUGAGUGGCGAASGGGUGAGUAAGACAUGGGGACGUACCCUCAAGAGGGGGAUAGCAUUCCGAAAGGGAUGGUAAUACCCGCGUAAGCUCGAGAGAGGGAAGGKGCAMCAGCACCGCUKGAGGAGCGACUCAUGGCCCAUCAGUUAGUUGGUGAGGUAAAGGCCCACCRRGGCUAUGACGGGUAGCUGGUCUGAGAGGAUGGUCAGCCACACUGGGACUGAGACACGGCCCAGACGUCCUACGGGAGGCAGCAGUGGGGAAUUUUUCCCAAUGGGSGARAGCCUGAGGGAGCGACGCCGCGUGGAGGAAGGAGUCUUUCGAGAUGUAAACUCCUGUUGUAAGGGAGCAAGGGUAUAUGUAGUGGAAAGGCAUAUACUCGGAUAGUACCUUACGAGGAAGCCCCGGCUAACUACGUGCCAGCAGCCGCGGUAAUACGUAGGGGGCGAGCGUUGUCCGGAGUUACUGGGCGUAAAGGGUGCGUAGGUGGCCGAUAAAGUCAAUUGUGAAAUUCCACGGCUCAACUGUGGGAGUGCGGUUGAAACUAAUCGGSUUGAGGUCAGGUCAGGAAGAUGGAAUUGUCAGUGUAGGGGUGAAAUCCGUAGAUAUUGGCAAGAACGCCGGUGGUGAAGACGGUCUUCUGGGCUGAUACUGACACUGAGGCACGAAAGCUAGGGGAGCGAACGGGAUUAGAUACCCCGGUAGUCCUAGCCGUAAACGAUGUUCACUGAGUAUGGGA